GAUGAACGCUGGCGGCGUGCCUAAUACAUGCAAGUCGAGCGAACAGACGAGGAGCUUGCUCCUCUGACGUUAGCGGCGGACGGGUGAGUAACACGUGGAUAACCUACCUAUAAGACUGGGAUAACUUCGGGAAGCCGGAGCUAAUACCGGAUAAUAUAUUGAACCGCAUGGUUCAAUAGUGAAAGACGGUUUUGCUGUCACUUAUAGAUGGAUCCGCGCCGCAUUAGCUAGUUGGUAAGGUAACGGCUUACCAAGGCGACGAUGCGUAGCCGACCUGAGAGGGUGAUCGGCCACACUGGAACUGAGACACGGUCCAGACUCCUACGGGAGGCAGCAGUAGGGAAUCUUCCGCAAAGGGCGAAAGCCUGACGGAGCAACGCCGCGUGAGUGAUGAAGGUCUUCGGAUCGUAAAACUCUGUUAUUAGGGAAGAACAAAUGUGUAAGUAACUAUGCACGUCUUGACGGUACCUAAUCAGAAAGCCGCGGCUAACUACGUG
Molecule: ribosomal RNA, 497 nt
Filed under: uncultured bacterium
Lineage: Bacteria
Description: partial 16S ribosomal RNA
Rfam family: Bacterial small subunit ribosomal RNA
Source: RNAcentral